RNAcentral lists this ribosomal RNA (374 nucleotides) under uncultured organism. RNAcentral describes it as "bacterial SSU rRNA". It matches the Rfam family "Bacterial small subunit ribosomal RNA", at positions 526 to 896 of the family's 1533-position model. The record is from RNAcentral.
CGUAGGGACCGAGCGUUGUCCGGAUUCAUUGGGCGUAAAGAGCUCGUAGGCGGCCACUCAAGUCGAAUGUGAAACCUCGAGGCUUAACCUCGAGCCUGCAUUCGAUACUGGGCGGCUAGAGUCUGGUAGGGGGAGUCUGGAAUUCCUGGUGUAGCGGUGGAAUGCGCAGAUAUCAGGAGGAACACCGGUGGCGAAGGCGGGAUCCUGGGCCAGUACUGACGCUGAGGAGCGAAAGCGUGGGGAGCAAACAGGAUUAGAUACCCUGGUAGUCCACGCCGUAAACGAUGGGCGCUAGGUGUGGGAGGUCAUCGACUCCUUCCGUGCCGCAGCUAACGCAUUAAGCGCCCCGCCUGGGGAGUACGGCCGCAAGGCUA